UACGGAGGAUGCAAGCGUUACCCGGAAUGAUUGGGCGUAAAGCGUCCGCAGGUGGCUAUGUAAGUCUGCUGUUAAAGAGUGAGGCUCAACCUCAUAAGAGCAGUGGAAACUACAUAGCUAGAGUGCGUUCGGGGCAGAGGGAAUUCCUGGUGUAGCGGUGAAAUGCGUAGAUAUCAGGAAGAACACCGGUGGCGAAAGCGCUCUGCUAGGCCGCAACUGACACUGAGGGACGAAAGCUAGGGGAGCGAAUGGG
Molecule: ribosomal RNA, 253 nt
Filed under: uncultured bacterium
Lineage: Bacteria
Description: partial 16S ribosomal RNA
Rfam family: Bacterial small subunit ribosomal RNA
Source: RNAcentral